CACGGGGGGAGCAAGCGUUGUCCGGAAUUAUUGGGCGUAAAGAGCUCGUAGGCGGUCUGUUGCGUCCGCUGUGAAAACUCGGGGCUUAACCCCGAGCCUGCAGUGGAUACGGGCAGACUAGAGGUAGGUAGGGGAGAAUGGAAUUCCCGGUGUAGCGGUGAAAUGCGCAGAUAUCGGGAGGAACACCGGUGGCGAAGGCGGUUCUCUGGGCCUUACCUGACGCUGAGGAGCGAAAGCGUGGGGAGCGAACAGG
RNAcentral lists this ribosomal RNA (253 nucleotides) under uncultured bacterium. Its description in RNAcentral is "partial 16S ribosomal RNA". It matches the Rfam family "Bacterial small subunit ribosomal RNA", at positions 524 to 776 of the family's 1533-position model. The record is from RNAcentral.